Molecule: transfer RNA, 66 nt
Filed under: Marmota monax (woodchuck)
Lineage: Eukaryota; Metazoa; Chordata; Mammalia; Rodentia; Sciuridae
Description: tRNA.Ala
Source: RNAcentral
GGUGGGGCUCAGCGGUAGAGUGCUUGUCUAGCAUGUUCGAGGCCCUGAGUUCAAUCCUCAGCACCA